UAGAGUUUGAUCCUGGCUCAGGAUGAACGUUGGCGGUGUGCUUGAGAUAUGCAAGUCGCACGUCUUUUUGCCGCAAGGCAAAAGGUAGUGGCGGACGGCUGAGUAACACGUAGGAAUCUACCCCAAAAUAAGGAAUACCCCCGAGAAAUCGGGGCUAAUACCUUAUGGACCCUUGCCGAAAGGUGUAGGGUAAAGCGAGUAACUUCGCGUUUUGGGAUGAGCCUGCGGCCUAUCAGGUAGUUGGUGGGGUAAAAGCCUACCAAGCCAAUGACGGGUAGCUGGUCUGAGAGGAUGGCCAGCCAGAGGGGCACUGAGACACGGGCCCCACUCCUACGGGAGGCAGCAAUCAGGAAUAGUCGGCAAUGGGCGCAAGCCUGACCGCGCGACACCGCGUGUAGGAAGAAGUUCUAACGAGCGUAAACUACUGUAGUAAGGGAAGAAGUCUCGACUUAGUCGGGAUUGACGGUACCUUACGAGAAAGGGGCCGCUAACUGCGUGCCAGAAGCGUCGGUAACACGUGGGCCCCAAACGUUAUCCGGUUUUAUUGGGCGUAAAAGGUCGUGUAGGCGGUUUGAUAAGUCUCUGUUUAAAUACUACAGCUUAACUGUAGGAAAGGCAAAGAUACUAUUAGACUUGAGUUUUCUUUAGGGAGACUGGAACUUAGGGAGGAGUAGUGAAAUGCGUUGAUACCCUAGGGAACACUAGUGGCGAAGGCGAGUCUCUGGAAGAUAACUGACGCUGAGACACGAAAGCUAGGGGAGCGAAGCAGAUUAGAGACCUGCGUAGUCCUAGCCUUAAACGAAUGCCUGCUAGCUGCACCUCUUCCCACCUUUGGUGGGAUAAGAUGUGGCGAAGGUAACCCGUUAAGCAGGCCGCCUGGGGAGUACGGCCGCAAGGUUGAAACUCAAAGGAAUUGGCGGGGAGGCACACAACCAGUGGAACAUGUGGUUCAAUUCGAAACGAAACGAAGAACCUCACCAAGACUUGACAUAUUACCGUUUAUUUUGCUAGAAAUAGCGAGAAAUCCCUAAAGGAUGGUAUUACAGGUACUGCAUGGCUGUCGUAAGCUCGUUCCGUGAGGAGUGCCCUUAAGUGGGACAACGAGCGCAACCCCUAUCCUGUGUUAAAUCUGUCACAGGAGACUGCCCCGACUUAGUCGGGGAGGAAGGAGGGGCGGACGUCAAGUCAGCAUGGUCCUUAUGUCUUGGGCUACACACAUGUUACAAUGAGAAAAACAGCGGGCUUUGCUAGCCAGCAAUGGUAAGCAAAUCUCUUAAAUUUUCUCUCAGUGGGGAUUGAGGUCUGCAACCCGACCUCAUGAACACGGAAUUGGUAGUAAUCGCGGAUCAGCUAUGCCGCGGUGAAUACGUUCUUGCCUCUUGCACACACCGCCCGUCAAACAAACAAAGUCGGGGAUACUUGAAGUUCGAUGUACGUCGGACGAGAGUACCGCUGGCGAUGGGUGUUAAGUCGUAACAAGGUAACC
This 1486-nucleotide ribosomal RNA is filed under the name uncultured bacterium. RNAcentral's name for it is "bacterial SSU rRNA". It matches the Rfam family "Bacterial small subunit ribosomal RNA". The record is from RNAcentral.